RNAcentral lists this microRNA precursor (97 nucleotides) under Poecilia formosa (Amazon molly). RNAcentral describes it as "Danio rerio miR-103 stem-loop (ENSPFOG00000021424.1)". The stretch from base 13 to 90 matches the Rfam family "mir-103/107 microRNA precursor family". Rfam says of the family: This family consists of the mammalian microRNA (miRNA) precursors mir-103 and mir107. Animal miRNAs are transcribed as ~70nt precursors and subsequently processed by the Dicer enzyme to give a ~22nt product. In this case the mature sequence comes from the 3' arm of the precursor. The record is from RNAcentral. Lineage: Eukaryota; Metazoa; Chordata; Actinopteri; Cyprinodontiformes; Poeciliidae.
GUCUUAUUCCUUUUUUGCCUUCAGCCUCUUUAUGGUGCUGCCUUGUGGCGUCUUGAUCAAGCAGCAUUGUACAGGGCUAUGACGGCGUAGAGGAGCU